This 1372-nucleotide ribosomal RNA is filed under the name Papurana papua (Papua frog). RNAcentral's name for it is "partial 16S ribosomal RNA". It matches the Rfam family "Bacterial large subunit ribosomal RNA", at positions 268 to 2564 of the family's 2925-position model. The record is from RNAcentral. Lineage: Eukaryota; Metazoa; Chordata; Amphibia; Anura; Ranidae.
CCUAAAAUCUAGCCCAUGAAACCCCAAUGAAACCUUCAACCUGCUGCCAAUUAACAAACCAUUCUUUUAUUCUAGUACAGGAGAUCAAAAAAUUCAUAGGCGCUUUAGACAAAGUACCGCAAGGGAAUGAUGAAAUAUAAAUGAAAUAAUCUCAAGCUAAACACAGCAGAGACACCCCCUCGUACCUUUUGCAUCAUGGUCUAGCUAGUCUAACCAAGCAAAAAGAAAAUUUAAGUUUAACAUCCCGAAACUAGACGAGCUACUUCAAAACAGCUCCCAGAGCUAACCCGUCUCUGUUGCAAAAGAGUGGGAAGAUUUUUAAGUAGAGGCGAUAAACCUAACGAGCCUAGAGAUAGCUGGUUGUUCAGGAAAAGAGUUUUAGCUCUACCUUAAGUUUUCUUGUUACACCAACAACCUCCCUAAACUUAAGAGCUAUUCAAGUAAGGCACAGCUUAUUUGAAACAGGACACAACCUAAACCACAGGGUAAACAAGGGUAAACUAAACAAAGUGGGCCUAAAAGCAGCCAUCUUUUAAAAAGCGUUAAAGCUUAAUUAUUUUUACCCAUAAUUCUUUCAUCUCCUUUGAACCCUUAACCCCUACUGAACCACUUUAUAUUUUUAUAAAAACAAUUAUGCUAGAACUAGUAACAAGAAAUUGUAUUUCUCCAAAAUGUAAGCACAAACCAAAACGGACCCUCCAUUGGUACCUAACGUAAAUGUCCAUCCUAUAACAACUUCCACCAAGAAAACCCUAUAAUUCAUAACGUUAACCUUACACCAGAACAUUUAAGGAAAGAUUAAAAGAGAAAGAAGGAACUCGGCAAACUUUAGCCCCGCCUGUUUACCAAAAACAUCGCCUCUUGAAAAUAUAAGAGGUCCAGCCUGCCCAGUGACAAAGUUCAACGGCCGCGGUACCCUAACCGUGCGAAGGUAGCAUAAUCACUUGUUCUUUAAAUAGGGACUAGUAUCAAAGGCACCACGAGGGCCAUACUGUCUCCUUUCUCCAAUCAGUGAAACUGAUCUCCCCGUGAAGAAGCGGGGAUAUAACUAUAAGACGAGAAGACCCCAUGGAGCUUUAAGUAAUGUGUUCACCCUUAUGUUUAUGUAUCAACUUAACAAAAAACUCUGAAUACUAGCUUUAGGUUGGGGGGACCGCGGAGCAUAAUACAACCUCCACGACAAAAGGGCCCCGCCCUAAUCCAUGAGUUACAACUCUAAGAAUCAACAAACUGAUGUUUUAUGACCCGAUAAUUCGAUCAACGAACCAAGUUACCCUGGGGAUAACAGCGCAAUCUACUUCAAGAGCCCUUAUCGACAAGUAGGUUUACGACCUCGAUGUUGGAUCAGGGUAUCCCAGUGGUGCAGCCGCUA